CCCUUAGAUGUUCUGGGCUGCACGCGCGCGACAAUGACGUUUGCAACGAGAUUGCGAGGCCGUCAGGUCGAGCUGAUCUUGCAAGCUGCGUCGUGAUAGGGACAGUCGAUUGCAAUUAUUCGACUCGAACGAGGAAUUCCUUGUAAUCGCGCAUCAUCAGUGCGCGCUGAAUACGUCCCUGCCCUUUGUACACACCGCCCGUCGCUCCUACCGAUUGAGCGAUCCGGUGAAUGUUUUGGAUCGGCUUCAAGUUGGUUCGCGCCUCUUGCUUGCUGUGAAAUCAUGUAAACCUUAUUGCUUAGAGGAAGGAGAAGUCGUAACA
RNAcentral lists this ribosomal RNA (322 nucleotides) under uncultured eukaryote. Its description in RNAcentral is "partial 18S ribosomal RNA". It matches the Rfam family "Eukaryotic small subunit ribosomal RNA", at positions 1470 to 1796 of the family's 1831-position model. The record is from RNAcentral.